This 460-nucleotide ribosomal RNA is filed under the name uncultured bacterium. RNAcentral's name for it is "partial 16S ribosomal RNA". It matches the Rfam family "Bacterial small subunit ribosomal RNA", at positions 338 to 795 of the family's 1533-position model. The record is from RNAcentral.
CCUACGGGGGGCAGCAGUGAGGAAUAUUGGUCAAUGGGCGCGAGCCUGAACCAGCCAAGUCGCGUGAGGGAAGACGGCCCUACGGGUUGUAAACCUCUUUUGCCGGGGAGCAACGGGCGCCACGUGUGGCGCCACUGAGAGUACCCGGAGAAAAAGCAUCGGCUAACUCCGUGCCAGCAGCCGCGGUAAUACGGAGGAUGCGAGCGUUAUCCGGAUUUAUUGGGUUUAAAGGGUGCGUAGGCGGAGCGUUAAGUCAGUGGUCAAAUUGAGGGGCUCAACCCCUUCCCGCCAUUGAAACUGGCGUGCUUGAGGGGAAUAGAAGGAUGCGGAAUGCGUGGUGGAGCGGUGGAAUGCAUAGAUAUCACGCAGAACCCCGAUUGCGAAGGCAGCAUGCCGGCUUCCUACUGACGCUGAAGCACGAAAGCGUGGGGAUCGAAAAGGAUUAGAUACCCCUGUAGUC